UAGCAAGUCGAGCGAAUCGAUGGGAGCUUGCUCCCUGAGAUUAGCGGCGGACGGGUGAGUAACACGUGGGCAACCUGCCUAUAAGACUGGGAUAACUUCGGGAAACCGGAGCUAAUACCGGAUACGUUCUUUUCUCGCAUGAGAGAAGAUGGAAAGACGGUUUCGGCUGUCACUUAUAGAUGGGCCCGCGGCGCAUUAGCUAGUUGGUGAGGUAAUGGCUCACCAAGGCGACGAUGCGUAGCCGACCUGAGAGGGUGAUCGGCCACACUGGGACUGAGACACGGCCCAGACUCCUACGGGAGGCAGCAGUAGGGAAUCUUCCGCAAUGGACGAAAGUCUGACGGAGCAACGCCGCGUGAACGAAGAAGGCCUUCGGGUCGUAAAGUUCUGUUGUUAGGGAAGAACAAGUACCAGAGUACUGCUG
RNAcentral lists this ribosomal RNA (424 nucleotides) under Peribacillus simplex. RNAcentral describes it as "bacterial SSU rRNA". It matches the Rfam family "Bacterial small subunit ribosomal RNA", at positions 55 to 469 of the family's 1533-position model. Lineage: Bacteria; Bacillati; Bacillota; Bacilli; Caryophanales; Bacillaceae. The record is from RNAcentral.